GUGGGGAAUCUUGCGCAAUGGGCGAAAGCCUGACGCAGCCAUGCCGCGUGAAUGAUGAAGGUCUUAGGAUUGUAAAAUUCUUUCACCGGGGACGAUAAUGACGGUACCCGGAGAAGAAGCCCCGGCUAACUUCGUGCCAGCAGCCGCGGUAAUACGAAGGGGGCUAGCGUUGCUCGGAAUUACUGGGCGUAAAGGGCGCGUAGGCGGACAGUUUAGUCAGAGGUGAAAGCCCAGGGCUCAACCUUGGAAUUGCCUUUGAUACUGGCUGUCUUGAGUACGGGAGAGGUGGGUGGAACUCCGAGUGUAGAGGUGAAAUUCGUAGAUAUUCGGAAGAACACCAGUGGCGAAGGCGACUCACUGGCCCGAUACUGACGCUGAGGCGCGAAAGCGUGGGGAGCAAACAGGAUUAGAAACCCCGGUAGUCC
This 425-nucleotide ribosomal RNA is filed under the name uncultured bacterium. Its description in RNAcentral is "partial 16S ribosomal RNA". It matches the Rfam family "Bacterial small subunit ribosomal RNA", at positions 354 to 796 of the family's 1533-position model. The record is from RNAcentral.